AUGCGCGAAAGUUGCGCUGAUUCAACUGGGCGUGUGUCUUUUCCAUGUCUCGACAAGGCAUGUUCUAGGUUCGGGACGGCUGCAUUUACUUUCAAUUCUCAGGUAAGGCAAGCCAUACAACGAGUGACUGCUCUAGUUGACCAGCUCGACUUCAUUAUUUACAUGAUUAUUAAAAUGGAACAUUUCGACGACACCGAGGCCACCGCAGGUAAGUGGGGGAAUCCCACCCAGACCAACCCUUUUCCCUGACAAGAGACUGAAAAGAUGGAAUGCAGCACAACAUGUUCUCAGUGUAGUGUAUGGUUGACUUUACACUGUGUAGUGUAUGGUUGACUUUACACUGACAUAUUUAAUACUUGUGCUUUGAUUGUCAACUCGUUCUGCAAUACGAUGUUCCAGUCACGUGUCGUACAAUACCCGUAACUUGCUGAAUAAACACUAAGCCAAUUCCUAGGAUUUUGAAUCUCGAUUGAUUCUUUUCGAGGGGAGCUACAGUAAUAGCACCCAAAUGGACCUCCAAAAUAUUUAGGCUAGUUGGGGGGGCCAUACAUAAACCAUUCACUUGUGUGCCUUGCAUCAUGUUUUAGUCUCGAUAGAAAUGUGUUAUCGAACCCGGGCCUGAAGUUUAGGAUACAAGUGACGCCACAGAAUUGGACAUAUGUUUCAUGAAUAAAACACAUGCAAAUAUCAUUUUGAGAUGGUAAAAGCAAAACGUUUAUUCAGUUCAUGAUACAAAAGAGUCUCACAGUAAGCGCCAAAACACACACGUCUUUGAUUUUGUAGGCCGCAUACAGACCCUGGAUCGCGAAACGGUUCAAACGUGACUCGAUUUCAGUUCGUUUUGCGCUCACUGCAUAUAGCACAAAGCAGUAUACAGCAAAUCACCAAUAUGCACCCACUAUCUGUUCCGAUGGUGUACAUGUUCUAAUUUGUUAUUCAAUAUGUCCACAAGGUGAUCCUAUUAUCAGACAAAAGGAUAUAUACACAUCCCUUAGUUCUGGGAUUUUUUUUUUUUACACUGAUCCUCCUCCACUGUCAUUAACUUAAAGAGCAGGGAUUCCCCGUUAAAUCGACAAGUCCCUGACAAUAAUCCUUAAAAUGGCACAAAUCUCAUCCAGAACAUUUUUUACACGUCUCAAAAUGUCUUGACGGGUAUAGAAGAGUCUCCGGGGCAGAUGCCACCAACUCGGACAAAGCACGCCAACGCCAUCGGACUUGGAUAAAGAAGCUCGGUCAAUGGGGGAAAAAAAUCUAAAAUACGACAGGAUCAUAAUUAAACAUUUUAAUGUCGAUCAAACUGGGAACAGUGUCUGAUUUACUCUUUCUACCUGUGAAAUAAACUAUUAUUAGCGCCAUGUCCAUUUGCGGCACAAUGUGCAAGUCUCCCAAAUGGCACCCUAUUCCCUAUAUAGUGCACACAUUUCCCCCCCAGAGCACUAUGGGUCCUGGUCAAAAGUAGUGCACUACAUAGGGAAUAGGGUGCAAUUUGGGAGGUGUACUAUAUCCAAAAGUCCCUAUAGUCUCCUGUAACCCCUUUUGAUACAUGCAUCUCUAUUACAGUAGGACGUCUGAUAAGUGUGUUCUCUAUUCCCGCUAUUGUGAUCUUUAUUCAAUAUGAUGAGAAAAUGACUCGACUGGCCACGGAGCAGUGAACCCUAUCAACACAGCUGUCUGAGUCAAUAGGUCCCUUUUGAGUAGAAUGAAAUCAUGUUCUCACUUUCCCUGUUAAUUCCGUGGAUGACUGAAAC
Long non-coding RNA from Oncorhynchus kisutch (coho salmon), 1748 nucleotides. The record is from Ensembl. NCBI's taxonomy places the organism in Eukaryota, Metazoa, Chordata, Actinopteri, Salmoniformes, Salmonidae.